RNAcentral lists this ribosomal RNA (844 nucleotides) under Staphylococcus equorum. Its description in RNAcentral is "bacterial SSU rRNA". It matches the Rfam family "Bacterial small subunit ribosomal RNA", at positions 94 to 924 of the family's 1533-position model. The record is from RNAcentral. Lineage: Bacteria; Bacillati; Bacillota; Bacilli; Caryophanales; Staphylococcaceae.
AGCGGCGGACGGGUGAGUAACGCGUGGGUAACCUACCUAUAAGACUGGAAUAACUUCGGGAAACCGGAGCUAAUGCCGGAUAACAUUUGGAACCACAUGGUUCUAAAGUAAAAGAUGGUUUUGCUAUCACUUAUAGAUGGACCCGCGCCGGAUUAGCUAGUUGGGAAGGUAACGGCUUACCAAGGCAACGAUACGUAACCGACCUGAGAGGGUGAUCGGCCACGCUGGAACUGASACACGGUCCAGACUCCUACGGGAGGCAACARUAGGGAAUCUUCCGCAAUGGACGAAAGUCUGACGGAGCAACGCCGCGUGAGUGAUGAAGGUUUUCGGAUCGUAAAACUCUGUUAUUAGGGAAGAACAAAUGUGUAAGUAACUGUGCACAUCUUGACGGUACCUAAUCAGAAAGCCACGGCUAACUACGUGCCAGCAGCCGCGGUAAUACGUAGGUGGCAAGCGUUAUCCGGAAUUAUUGGGCGUAAAGCGCGCGUAGGCGGUUUCUUAAGUCUGAUGUGAAAGCCCACGGCUCAACCGUGGAGGGUCAUUGGAAACUGGGAAACUUGAAUACAGAAGAGGAAAGUGGAAUUCCAUGUGUAGCGGUGAAAUGCGCAAAGAUAUGGAGGAACACCAGUGGCGAAGGCGACUUUCUGGUCUGUAACUGACGCUGAUGUGCGAAAGCGUGGGGAUCAAACAGGAUUAGAUACCCUGGUAGUCCACGCCGUAAACGAUGAGUGCUAAGUGUUAAGGGGGUUUCCGCCCUUAGUGCUGCAGCUAACGCAUUAAGCACUCCGCCUGGGGAGUACGACCGCAAGGCUGAAACUCAAAGGAAUUGACGGGGACCCGC